Molecule: ribosomal RNA, 253 nt
Filed under: uncultured bacterium
Lineage: Bacteria
Description: partial 16S ribosomal RNA
Rfam family: Bacterial small subunit ribosomal RNA
Source: RNAcentral
CACGUAGGAGGCAAGCGUUAUCCGGAUUUACUGGGCGUAAAGCGCGUGCAGGCGGUUCAGAAAGUUGGAUGUGAAAGCUCCUGGCUUAACUGGGAGAGGUCGUUCAAUACUUCUGGACUAGAGUAUGGGAGAGGGAGGUGGAAUUCCGGGUGUGGUGGUGAAAUGUGUAGAUAUCCGGAGGAACACCAGUGGCGAAAGCGGCCUCCUGGCCCAAAACUGACGCUCAGACGCGAAAGCUAGGGUAGCAAACGGG